This 63-nucleotide transfer RNA is filed under the name Paphiopedilum charlesworthii. RNAcentral describes it as "tRNA-Gln". It matches the Rfam family "tRNA", at positions 1 to 62 of the family's 71-position model. From Rfam's summary of the family: Transfer RNA (tRNA) molecules are approximately 80 nucleotides in length. Their secondary structure includes four short double-helical elements and three loops (D, anti-codon, and T loops). RNAcentral also lists the same sequence under 4 other names. Lineage: Eukaryota; Viridiplantae; Streptophyta; Magnoliopsida; Asparagales; Orchidaceae. The record is from RNAcentral.
UGGGGCGUGGCCAAGCGGUAAGGCAACGGGUUUUGGUCCCGUUACUCGGAGGUUCUAAUCCUU